This 473-nucleotide ribosomal RNA is filed under the name Cryptosporidium sp. rat genotype IV. Its description in RNAcentral is "SSU rRNA". It matches the Rfam family "Eukaryotic small subunit ribosomal RNA", at positions 369 to 874 of the family's 1831-position model. Lineage: Eukaryota; Apicomplexa; Conoidasida; Eucoccidiorida; Cryptosporidiidae. The record is from RNAcentral.
AUUAGGGUUCGAUUCCGGAGAGGGAGCCUGAGAAACGGCUACCACAUCUAAGGAAGGCAGCAGGCGCGCAAAUUACCCAAUCCUAAUACAGGGAGGUAGUGACAAGAAAUAACAAUACAGGACUUAAUUGUUUUGUAAUUGGAAUGAGUUAAGUAUAAACCCCUUUACAAGUAUCAAUUGGAGGGCAAGUCUGGUGCCAGCAGCCGCGGUAAUUCCAGCUCCAAUAGCGUAUAUUAAAGUUGUUGCAGUUAAAAAGCUCGUAGUUGGAUUUCUGUUAAUAUUUUAUAUUAUUAAUUUAUUAUUAUUAAUAUAAUAUUAACAUAAUUCAUAUUACUUUUUUUGAGUAUAUGAAAUUUUACUUUGAGAAAAUUAGAGUGCUUAAAGCAGGCUUUUGCCUUGAAUACUCCAGCAUGGAAUAAUAUUAAAGAUUUUUAUCUUUCUUAUUGGUUCUAAGAUAGAAAUAAUGAUUAAUA